GCUUGGGUAGCUCAGUUGGUAGAGCACUUGCCCGCGGUGCUACGGUCGCAGGUUCGAAUCCUGCCUCGGGCA
This is a non-coding RNA of Schistocerca gregaria, 72 nucleotides long. The record is from the annotation of a RefSeq genome assembly. NCBI's taxonomy places the organism in Eukaryota, Metazoa, Arthropoda, Insecta, Orthoptera, Acrididae.